GGAAGUAGCGUGGAAACAACCAAAGAGAGAGUAAUUUCGGGAGAUUAUGGCAGAGCGAGACGGAAGGGGAGAGUUCAGGAUGGAGCUCACCCGAAGAUGAGGAAGAGAGGAAGGACCGAAAUGAGGAAGGGAGCAAGAGUGUUCUAUGCGAAAGAGAAAGAAGUAUCGAGGGAAAGGAAAUUGAGCACAGAGAGAGAGAGAGAGAGAGAGAGAGAGAGAGAGAGAGAGGGAGUGAGCGAGCGAGCUGAAGGAGAGAGCGAAAGGGAGUGAGGAACAGAGAGCCCGGAAUAGAGCACAUUCAAGGAUGAAGAAGAAAAAGAGGAUAGAAAAAAGGGGCAAGCAAAACAGAGCAAACGGAAGUAUCGGAGCUGGAAGUAGAAGGGCAUCAAAUGGGCAAAUGCUUAGCGGCAUCGAAUUAGAUUACAGGCUAGCUUAGUCAUUGGACCGUUGAUCCGGCGGGAUAUAAAUUGGACGCUAGAUCGCUGAUCCGGCGGGAUAUAAAAAGGACACUAGACCGCUGACCCGGCGGGGUAUAAAUUGGACGCUAGACCGCUGACCCAACGGAAUAUAAAUUGGACUUUAGACCGCUGAUCCGACAAGAUAUAAGACGGACGCUAGUUAGAGUUUGAUGAUGGGUGGCCCCCGCGUAUGAGAGGCGAUAUUGGAAUUAUGGAGGCGUGGAUUGAAUUAUGUGAGGUUACAGUACCGUCAAAACUCAGUCUAAGGAAAUAUAAUCCUAUGAUUACGUUGUUUGAUUGUGUUAUGUAUUGUCUCUCUGAAAUUAUUUGAUAUUGAAAAGCAUAUUUUUAUGGUAUGAAUUUGAUUGGAUAUCUUGUCUAAUGUUCAAGUGGUAUUGGAUAUUAGUGAAAUGGUUGGAAGAGUUGUGUGUAUUUGCUAAUGGAACUUUUGUUGGGUUAGUAUAUUGGAUAUGACUAAUAUGUAUCAAUGUAUAUAUAUAUAUAUAUACCUGGUGAUAUGGAGGAA
Molecule: non-coding RNA, 984 nt
Organism: Punica granatum (pomegranate)
Lineage: Eukaryota; Viridiplantae; Streptophyta; Magnoliopsida; Myrtales; Lythraceae
Source: RefSeq, a predicted model, not a curated record